GGGCUCAUAGCUCAGUUGGUUAGAGCAGCGGACUCAUAAUCCGCGUGUCCAAGGUUCGAAUCCUUGUGGGCCCACCA
RNAcentral lists this transfer RNA (77 nucleotides) under Candidatus Auribacterota bacterium. RNAcentral describes it as "tRNA-Ile". It matches the Rfam family "tRNA". Rfam says of the family: Transfer RNA (tRNA) molecules are approximately 80 nucleotides in length. Their secondary structure includes four short double-helical elements and three loops (D, anti-codon, and T loops). Further hydrogen bonds mediate the characteristic L-shaped molecular structure. tRNAs have two regions of fundamental functional importance: the anti-codon, which is responsible for specific mRNA codon recognition, and the 3' end, to which the tRNAs corresponding amino acid is attached (by aminoacyl-tRNA synthetases). tRNAs cope with the degeneracy of the genetic code in two manners: having more than one tRNA (with a specific anti-codon) for a particular amino acid; and 'wobble' base-pairing, i.e. permitting non-standard base-pairing at the 3rd anti-codon position. Lineage: Bacteria; Pseudomonadati; Candidatus Auribacterota. The record is from RNAcentral.